RNAcentral lists this ribosomal RNA (677 nucleotides) under Gilliamella apicola. RNAcentral describes it as "bacterial LSU rRNA". It matches the Rfam family "Bacterial large subunit ribosomal RNA", at positions 1 to 711 of the family's 2925-position model. The record is from RNAcentral. RNAcentral also lists the same sequence under 1 other name. Lineage: Bacteria; Pseudomonadati; Pseudomonadota; Gammaproteobacteria; Orbales; Orbaceae.
GUUGUAAGGUUAAGAAAUUAAGCGUACACGGUGGAUGCCUAGGCAAUCAGAGGCGAAGAAGGACGUGUUAAUCUGCGAAAAGCGACGGUAAGCUGAUAAAAAGCGUAAUAGCCGUCGAUGUCCGAAUGGGGAAACCCAGUGUAGGAAACUACACUAUCAUCUAAUGAAUUCAUAGUUAGAUGAGGCGAACCGGGAGAACUGAAACAUCUAAGUACCCCGAGGAAAAGAAAUCAACCGAGAUUCCCUGAGUAGCGGCGAGCGAAAGGGGAGGAGCCCAAGCGGGUAGCAUAAAGUAUUAGUGGAAGCGUCUGGAAAGUCGCACGAUAGAGGGUGAAAGUCCCGUACACGAAGGUACGUUAUGUGGAAGCUUAUAGAGUAGGGCGGGACACGUGAUAUCCUGUCUGAAGAAGGGGGGACCAUCCUCCAAGGCUAAAUACUCCUGAUUGACCGAUAGUGAACCAGUACCGUGAGGGAAAGGCGAAAAGAACCCCGGGAGGGGAGUGAAAUAGACCCUGAAACCGUGUACGUACAAUCAGUGGGAGCUGUUACCGUUGGGUAAUAGUGACUGCGUACCUUUUGUAUAAUGGGUCAGCGACUUAUAUUCUGUAGCGAGGUUAACCGAAUAGGGGAGCCGAAGGGAAACCGAGUAUUAACUGUGCGUUAAGUUGCAGGGUAUA